This is a long non-coding RNA of Styela clava, 456 nucleotides long. RefSeq lists it as uncharacterized. The record is from RefSeq and is a predicted model, not a curated record. NCBI's taxonomy places the organism in Eukaryota, Metazoa, Chordata, Ascidiacea, Stolidobranchia, Styelidae.
GUAUGUCUUAAUCUGUAAACUAGUAUGAAAGCUUCUCAAUCUUGCUAAAACAAACAAAAUUGACAAAUGAUCUGUUGAAGGAUUCUAUUUCUGGUACUUGCGCAUGCACGUUAAAAAAAUUCCAUUUUAUCCUCUCCGUUUUGUGAAGUAUAACUGAGGCUACAUUAUCGACAGAGAUGGAAAAUCUUCUUUCAAUAUUAUUAGCGUUGGCCAUUGCAUUGAUGUUUCUCUUAGGAACAUCUUACGCUUGCACGUCAGACGAUGACUGUCUACCCCCAUUGAUAUGUGACACAAGUAGGGCGCUGAAAAUUUGCUGGUAGGACAUUGCAGGCUGGAGCAAAGAUGUAAGAGGAAUAGAUUACUCAACAAGCUCAAUUGCAUGCACAGAGAAGGAAUAGUUUGCAUACAGACCAAUAUAAAUAUAUUUUGGAAUCGAUUAAAAUAAAAUGAAAUAAA